This 462-nucleotide ribosomal RNA is filed under the name uncultured Planctomycetaceae bacterium. RNAcentral describes it as "bacterial SSU rRNA". It matches the Rfam family "Bacterial small subunit ribosomal RNA", at positions 338 to 795 of the family's 1533-position model. Lineage: Bacteria; Pseudomonadati; Planctomycetota; Planctomycetia; Planctomycetales; Planctomycetaceae. The record is from RNAcentral.
CCUACGGGGGGCUGCAGUCGAGAAUCUUCCGCAAUGGACGAAAGUCUGACGGAGCGACGCCGCGUGCGGGAUGAAGGCCCUUGGGUUGUAAACCGCUGUCAGAGGGGAUGAAAUCUUCGGAGGUACUCCUCCGAAGUUGACAGAGCCUCAAAGGAAGCACGGGCUAAGUACGUGCCAGCAGCCGCGGUAACACGUACUGUGCGAACGUUAUUCGGAAUCACUGGGCUUAAAGGGUGCGUAGGCGGCGAUUCAAGUCAGAUGUGAAAUGCCUGAGCUCAACUGAGGCAUUGCGUUUGAAACUGAACCGCUAGAGUAUUUCAGGGGUGUGCGGAACUGCCAGUGGAACGGUGAAAUGUGUUGAUAUUGGCAGGAACACCGGAGGCGAAAGCGGCACACUGGGGAAUAACUGACGCUGAGGCACGAAAGCCAAGGGAGCGAACGGGAUUAGAUACCCCAGUAGUC